UACGAAGGGGGCUAGCGUUGUUCGGAAUCACUGGGCGUAAAGGGCGCGUAGGCGGCUGUUCAAGUCGGGGGUGAAAUCCCGUGGCUCAACCACGGAAUGGCCUUCGAUACUGGACGGCUCGAGACCGGGAGAGGUGAGUGGAACUGCGAGUGUAGAGGUGAAAUUCGUAGAUAUUCGCAAGAACACCAGUGGCGAAGGCGGCUCACUGGCCCGGUACUGACGCUGAGGUGCGAAAGCGUGGGGAGCAAACAGG
Molecule: ribosomal RNA, 253 nt
Filed under: uncultured bacterium
Lineage: Bacteria
Description: partial 16S ribosomal RNA
Rfam family: Bacterial small subunit ribosomal RNA
Source: RNAcentral